Molecule: RNA transcript, 790 nt
Organism: Maniola jurtina (meadow brown)
Lineage: Eukaryota; Metazoa; Arthropoda; Insecta; Lepidoptera; Nymphalidae
Exons: 7
Source: RefSeq, a predicted model, not a curated record
CUUGUGAUCUUUUGUAUCUAUUUUAAUUACCUAUUAUAAUUUUUAGGUAAUCUUGUUCAUCAAAAUUAUUUUAACUAACAGUGAAUUGAGUUUACCUACUUUCGCUCAUUCAAAAAGUAGUGAAACAUGGGCUUAAUACAAUCAGUAUUUUGUUCUAUAGUAUUCUGCGUUGAGAGAGUGCUAACAUGGACUUGCUGUGCUUUCCUGCUCAUGUUAAUGAUGUUUACAAUCAUCAUACUGAUAGUGUACGGCAUAUCAGUUGGAUAUCAUUAUGCUCAAAAAGAACUUGCUUUCUUUGCAAUGACCUCUCGAACGACGACUGAACCGACGACGUCAAGACGAUCUGGUGGCGGCAGCGCCGACAGUCGACCAAUCGUGCGACUGGUUGCCGUCAACCUGUCAGAAGUCGAGUCUGCGCCGGCACCUCUUCUUGAGAUCGACCAAACCAAAAGGCCAGGCGAACGCGUUUACUUGGAGACAUCUGCAACCCCAGUUGUCCUUCUUGAAACACAAAGGCCACCUGCUGAGCCGGAAUUGUCACCACAUGAAAGAGAGCUGACGCGUAACCUGAUUGUAAGAUUCCGUCGAUCAAGAAACACCACCUCCACGACAAUGCCGUUUCUACGUCCUCUUAAUAGCACAGAACCGCCUAUACCAGCAGCUGCAUAGAAAUUCCUUCAUUUGAAACAUUUACUUAACUAAUUACCAGAAAGUUGUAAUUAUUGUACUCCAUGUGUGCAGUAGAGUUGUAGAUUAUCUAGAAAAUAAACAAUCGAUUGUAUCGAACUAA